GUCCAGACUCCUACGGGAGGCAGCAGUGGGGAAUAUUGCACAAUGGGGGAAACCCUGAUGCAGCGACGCCGCGUGAGCGAUGAAGUAUUUCGGUAUGUAAAGCUCUCUCAGCAGGGAAGAAAAUGACGGUACCUGACUAAGAAGCCCCGGCUAACUACGUGCCAGCAGCCGCGGUAAUACGUAGGGGGCAAGCGUUAUCCGGAUUUACUGGGUGUAAAGGGAGCGUAGACGGCAAUGCAAGCCAGAUGUGAAAGCCCGGGGCUCAACCCUGGGACUGCUCUGGAAACUGUAAAGCUGGAGUGCGGGAGGGGCAGGCGGAAUUCCUGGUGUAGCGGUGAAAUGCGUAGAUAUCAGGAGGAACACCGGCGGCGAAGGCGGCCUGCUGGACGAUGACUGACGUUGAGGCUCGAAAGCGUGGGGAGCAAACAGGAUUAGAUACCCGGGUACUA
This 449-nucleotide ribosomal RNA is filed under the name uncultured bacterium. RNAcentral's name for it is "partial 16S ribosomal RNA". It matches the Rfam family "Bacterial small subunit ribosomal RNA", at positions 329 to 797 of the family's 1533-position model. The record is from RNAcentral.